UGUAUCUAGUGUCGCAGAGGAUAGAGGAGGGUCACUUCCCCUGGAACUUGAUAUACUGAUAGUUGGAAGCUGUCAUGUGGGUACUAGGAAUAGAACCAAGAUCCUCUUGAACAAGACCCAAUGCUCACUUUGAAAGCAAAUUUUCUAAAUUUAAGUUAUAAAAAUAAGUACAAUGUUUUAACCAUAAUCCUAAAAACUUCAUAAGUUUAUAAAGCAAGGUUCCUCUGUGCUGUGCUGUGGAUGCAGUACAUAAUGGUAGGAUUUUCUCCCAUAGGUCCCAUGGGCUGGCUAUGCAUUAUGUGGGGGUGAUGAACACUCCCAUAGGCCUGCCCCAUGGACUGAACUCUUCACCACAGCCUUCAACAGAGAAACAUCACCCUCUCUCCCUGUCGGGUGAAAACCUACUGCUUCCCAGCUUUCCCCCAGUGCUGCAUUCCCGUCUCCUUCACCUGCAAACAUUUAAUCCUAUUCAUGACUUGUUUGUUGCCUGUACCUAUUCUUACACUUACUUCUCGUUUUCAUUGUUGUAGCCAGUAUGUCUGUGCUUAAAUCUGAAGCCUCUGGCUGCUAGGGGUAGCUCUCAAGCUUUCUGUGCAAAGCACUGCACAUCCUCUAAGGGAAAAGGACUGGUGAGGAUGGGACCAACUCCAUAACCAUAGCCGUAGCUGUAGGGCUAACUGUAGUUGCACAAGAGGUGGUGGUGGGCCACGAGAAGAAGCCAGUCCCAGGUCGGGGAAAGCCAGUCCCAGGAGGAGCUGCAGUGGCAGGUGAUCAGAGACUUGAGACCCGCAGCCAGCGCUAGUGGGUGAGAGACAGAGAUGGAUAAACACGCCAUGCAUAGAAAGUUUGGGUAUAGUUUAUUCAGUGGGGUAUGGAAGGGAAGGGGAGAUAGAGAGAAAGAGAGAGAGGGAGAGAGGUGGGGGGAGGAGUGGCAGCAACCACUCUUCGGAGGGUCAGAGACAGAGAGCUCACAGGAGGAAGACCAGCUAGCAAAGGCAGAAGGGGUGGUGGCAGUGGGCUGGACUUGUCUCUUAAAGGGACAGGGUACACAAGUGACAGACCAGGCCAUCAGAUCAUAACAUGCCCAUGUCUUUCUUAUAGAGGUCAGGCACAACAGGUUAAAGGAAUUGGAACAGCAGAGUUUCAAGACUGCUUCCUGCUUAUUUUGUGCACUGUCUUGGGGGCACCUGAGAAAGCUGGGUGCUGGUCACAUCCUGGGUUAGCUGGUCUCAAACGUCCAUCUGAAUCCAUAUUUUAAUUAUUUUUUUACCUGGAAGACUGAAAAUCUGCAGAAGGGACCUUAUGAUCCCUGUGGCAGCUGGAUUGUUGAUGCUAAGGAGGCUAUGAGAAGAACUAAGUUGGUGCUCACAGGGAAUUUUUUUUCUUGUUUCAUGAUGAACAGAUUAAAUUAAUUUUACCAAAGACCAAAAAAUUUAAAAUAAUAAUUUAUGAAGGCACACUAGCACAGAUACAUCAUUGUUGACAAGCAGGUUUUACUACAUGGCUCAGUAAUUUCCUUGUAAACUAGUUUUUAUAUUUUCCAACUAGUAGAUACUAUAAAAAUCUAGUUUCUAAUCACCUUGGCAUGGAAUUGCUAUGACUGCGUCUGUUAGACAGGAAGAUAGAGUUGAGAGAGACUGGACAAUAUUUUCAAUAACAGGACAUAAAGAACUGUAAGUAGUUGAUGUUUGCCUCCAGGUAGUUCAAAUAAGGGCAUCAAAAACAAGAUUUCAAGAACUAUAGGUGUUGGUAAACUCUGGAUAGGACAAGUCAAAUCAGUGCCAGAGACUCCCUUUCCAGGGACCAUGGAAGACAGCUGUUCCUCUGUCUCCUAGUUAACUUUUCAACUUUGGAAAAUUGAAAAUCCAUGCUCGCAUUCCUAUUUCUUCAUCUACAUAUUGCAGUCUCAAUUUAGGGUAAAAUAAACUUUCCUGAAAAUGCCAACUAGGUGAGGUACAGAGGAGGAGAUAGCCUGAAAAAGAGGUAAGCAAGCUCUGUGCCACAGACAGAGUCACUGGGGCUCAGUUCACACCUUUUGUCAAAGACCCCCAUUACCCAUCUGCUGGACUGGAGCACCUCAAGCAUUCCCUCAGAAACUUCAAGUCUAACUGCUCUCCUGAGUUAUCUUCCUCCCAGUCUUUGGUCUUGUUUUUACUUUCAUAGUCUGAUUUAGAUAGAAUAUAUUCUGUCUUUUUAUCUAUCACAUGUUUCUUUCUGUCUAUUUAUCAUCUGUCAUCUAUCUAUUCAUCUAUCUCUAUCAUCUAUGAAUGCUUGCGCACACACACAUAUGUGCACCACACACACACACACCACACACACACACACACACCACACACACACACACACACACAUACACACACACACACACCUAGAACUAGACUGUUAUGACUAGAUUGUCUCCAAUGUCCUUCCAGGCUCUCCCAACUAUGACCCCAGGAAGUCACUCUUUUUGGAUCAUGUGAUCUUAGGCUUCCUAAGAAACAGCAUCAUGUCUUUAGGGUGAGAUUGAAGUGCAAUCAGAAGGACAGCCUAUGUUAGCUUGAUGCUAACCUGUAGUUUCCCAAUGAUCAAGUUUUCCUUAGAAACGGGACAUUUCUGUUUGGUACAGUUCACACAUUCACUAUCCAUCAGAGUGAUAGAAAAUAUGGUCAAUUACCGAAAUAAAAGAUUAUCAAGAUACUGAACAUACCCACUUUGGGCUUUCAUCUUUUUCCCUGAAUCCUUCUCCUUACCCAAAGAAGAAAUGUAAAUCUUAAUACAAAUAUUUUCCCCUUCACCCUACACUUUUGAAAUUUUUGCCUUACUCUCUUUCUCCUCUAUUUCUCUUUUUAUAUGCAUAGAUCACAUCCAUCAGGAAGAUAGGCUUGGAAGGAAUAAUUCAGUAGGGUAGAGAGGAGACACAUCUAUCCUUUAUUUGAGGUACAAAAGAGGUUGAUGUAUGUAGAGGCAAUGCACUAUUGAUGCCAAAGUUCCCACCACACGCUGAGUAUUCUCUCUCCUAAAGUCUGAGUCCAUAUCCCUUCCUGAACAAGAAAUCCUGACCCUGACUUUUGUGUGUGUGUAUGCAUGUGUCCAGAUGUGAAGGCCAGAGGUCAAAAAUGGGUCUCUUUCGCUAUCAUUUCCACCUUAGUAUUUGAGACAGUGUCUCUCACUAAAUCUGAAGUUCACUAAUUCAUCUAGACUAACUGGGCAAGAGAGCCUCCUGUUCUUCACCCCCAGCACUGGAUUUCAAGCCCAUGACCACAUCUAGCUUUUUAUGUUAGUGUUGGAAAUUUAAUUCUGGUCUUCAUGAUAACACAGCAUAUAUUUUACCAAUUAAGAUAUCUCUCUAGUCCCUUCUUAUUCUUGGUCCUCUAACAAGCCAAGUUGAUAGAAGAGUUACAUUGUUGAGUGAUAUGACUCCUGGAUAUAAGAAUUCCUCUCAUUUGUAUUAAGACCCUCUCUAUACUUUCAGGCUAGGUAUUAAUUUGAGUCCAUGGAAUUCUUACCUUGAGCAUCCCUGUCCUCUUAAUCAAUUCAAGAACCUUGGAGACAGUCUGAGGUGAUUUGUGAGAUCACUGUCUUGCAAAACUCUGCCUUUCAUUGAACCUUCAGCCAUCAGUUGCACCUCUGGUCAGGAGUUCAUAUCCACCACUGCAUAUGUAUGAAUUCCUUUCUCUGUGCUGUGACAUACAAGAGCCAUGAAUGCAUAAGCAAGAAAACAAGUAUACUAAAGGUUUGUGACCCUGUAGCUAAUGCCAUAUUCAUGCCGCCAGAGUCUUCUUUAUAGACCAGAGUUGCACAGGAGAUUUCAAUUACACAGAAAGGUCAUUGCAAAAUAAUUGCUGGCCUACAUUGUUUGUCAAUAUGAGAUUUUUACCAAGCUUCUCACACAAGGUCAGAUCUGCUCCACUCCAUGACCACUGACAUAUAUACAUACAUACAGAAGUACAGGGGUUACUGCGCUUGUUCCUAACUAUGCCUUAGUAAAGCUCUCAAGGUGUACAUCUUAACUUUUUAUACUCCAGCCCCUUGUACUCCUGCCUGCCCCCUUUGCUAUUUGGCUACCGUGAAACUUCUCAGAUCAAUCAGAGUGUUUAUAAACUAAACGCCAAGCUUGUAAAAGACUAGAAUGCACUAACUAAUGAGUAUUUUGACUCCCGACACAUGUAAGGACAAAUACAGUUGCUACCUGUGUAAUAUGAACUAAGAUUUAAGAAUUUUUGUUUGCCAAGUGUCAAAUGAGAAAGAUUUAUUGUCUUUCUACAUGUAUUAUGAAAAAUAAAUUAACUAAAAAAGUACUGAUGAGGUUGAUGUUGGAGCUAGAGAGAUGGUUCAGUGGCUAAGAGGACUUGCUGAUCUUGCAGAGAACUCAGGUUUGUCAUGGAAACUCAUAGGGUCUGUAACUUGAUUUCAAGGAAACUUACACCCUUUUAUGGUCUUUGUAUGGAACAAGAAUCCAUUUCUGCAUAUACAUGCACUCAUGAAAACAAUAACACAAAAGUUAAAAUAAAUGUUUUUUAAACUCUGCAAAUAUUAAAAUUUAUUUAUAGAACUUCACAUCUAGGAAAUUAUGACAGAAGUAUGCCAAUGUCCUGUUUUGUGUUUAUCUUUAAUAUAUCAAACCUCUAGAUCAGGAUUACUUUUGCCUGCCUAAAAUUUCACCAUUUGCAUAAAACAAUAGGACAGUAAAAUCCUGCAUCAAGAAGCAGAAAAAAAAAAGUGUCCUGAAAACUUUGAAACAUUUUUACUAAAUUGGUAACUGAUUGGAACUGAUUACCCAAUGCUAAUAUCUAGAAAGCAUUUCUACCAAAUCCUAAUCAUACUUACUGGGAAACAAACAAAAAUAAACAGACAAAAAAUUAAAAAAAAAAACUCUCAGUAGCCACUGGAAUAGAGUUGCCUUCUUACAAAUGAGGAGACAGGUUAGCCAGUGAAGUGCUUGUUAUAUGAUGAGAUGAGGCUGGAUCUCUGUUACCCAUGUGAAAAGUCAGAUAUACUGUGACCAUAGUGAGGAGAGUCAGGGAGAUCCCUGAAUCAUGUGUGCCAUUCAUGCUAGCCAAUGGGUAAGCCCAAGGUUCAUCUAAUGCUGACUCAAAAUAAUAAGCUAGAGAACAAUCCAAGAAGAUAUUUCUUUGUUGUGAGAGGCUGCUAGUUUGUGAUCUCAGCCCUGCUCAGCCCUGAAAUAAUCACACAGAAACUGUAUUAAUUAAAUCAUUGCUUGGCCUAUUAGCUCUAACUUCUUAUCGACUAGCUCUUAUAUUUCAAUUUAACCCAUUUCUAUUAAUAAGUGUAUUGCCAUGUGGCUUACCAGGUGAAGUUUUGGCAUUUGUGUCCGAAGGGGCCACAUGGCUUCUCACUAACUCCUCUUUUCUUUCUUCCAGCAUUCAGUUUAGUUUUCCCCACCUAGCUCUGUUCUAUUCUAUCAGACCAAGCCAGUUUCUUUAUUAACCAAUGGUAUUCACAGCAUACAGAGGAGAAUCCCAUAUUAUUUCUUGGGCUCCAUACUCAUUUGCACACAUGUAUGAACCCAUACACACAUGUAUGAAUACACAUACAAAUACACAGACAUGCAAAGUUAAUUUUUUGUUCAAAUUUUUCUAGAAUGAACACAUGCCAUUCUAUAAACUGAAUAUUUUCCAAAAAUCCAACAGGAAACCAACCUUUCUUGCAUCAUUUUGCAAGGAAUCAGAACUGAAAUAAAGCAUCAUCAGGAUCAAAAGAAGCAAGAAACCAGUGACAGAGGAGAAGGAACAUUCCACCCCCAUCCAGCCACAAGGAAGAGAACUUGGUCCUCAAAUAUCAGAGAAGGAGAGCUCAGUGCAUUUUGUGAUGUAAAGUCCUUAGCUACAACUACAUCAUUACACAUCCACAUCCAGCCAUGUUCCCUGCUAUGAUGAUCACGGACCAAACUCUGAAACUGUAUAAAGUAACCAGGUGGGACAGAACAAAGGAAUCCAGCAUCCGGCUUCUUGCUUAUGGAUACACUGUGAUAGUUAUUGCAAGCUCCUGCUGCCAUGACUUCCACCAUGAUGGACUGCACCUUCAAACUGUGAGCUAAAAUAAACCCUCCCUUUAAAAAUGUUCAUCUCUGGUAUUUCUUCACAGCAGAGAGAAAAGCAGCUGAGACAAGAGGGAAAAUGCCUGCUCUUUCCAGGGAAAGGGGCAUUGGGUUGUCCGAGGGAAGAUGAGUAACAUCAAAUGUCUUUGAGUCCUGAAAUUACAGAGGUAGAACUGGAAUUACACAAGGAAGGUUGAACUGGUCAUAUGUGCAAGUCAGAGGAGAAGGAUUUGCGAUGCUUGCUGGUGUCAGCCACAUAAUCAGAGACUCUGGGGGAUAAGGCUUAAGACACAAACUAGCCAUGUAUCAUGAGACUCUCAGAACACAAGGUAAAAUGGCUGGGAUGCUGACCCAUGUUUUUAAGAAAAUGGUUCUUAUUCUCAGGCAGUUUCAUAGAUGUAACAGUAAAUAAGAGGCUACUCUCCUAACUCUUCAUGAACAGCUUCAGCAAUUACCUUGUAGGAUUUUUUUACGUUUUUUGCUAAUACUGAAACCAGUCUUGGAGCAGAGAGCAGUAGCACUAUCCUAAUAUUUCCUGGUCUGUGGUUGGCAUUUGCACUGUGAGACAGAUCUUGCCCUAAUUUGAGGGAUCUCUGACCCCUUAUGCCACCUUUGAGCUUGAAUAGAAGUGUGUUUAAAGUUGUUCCUACUUUCACAUUGCUUAAAGUUAAAUGUUCUUGAUGCUUAGAACACAAUGCCUCCAAUUAGAGUUCCUUGGUGUACUGAGUGUUUUGAACAGAGGAAGUUACGAAACAGCUGACUCCAGAGCUCUUUCCGAUCCCUUUAGAUCUUUUGCCAUCCUGUCCUCUAACUUUUCUAAAGUGAGGAAAAUGAACCACAGGACUCUUCCUCUAGAGCUUCAUAGAAAAGAGAACUUCAUUGCCCCAAAGUAAGGAACAGCCUGGAAAGCUUUGUAUCCCCGUUUUCACAGGAAAACCGCCACUGCAGAAAGGUCCUGGUGCCUUGUGUGGGAGGAGGGAUCACUAACUGGAUCUUUCAGCAUGUCUGAAGAGCUCCCUCCUUAGUCUGCUGUUGUUUGUGUAACCAUGCCGGCAGGAAUGAAGGUAUUCUAGAAAUAAUUGGGGACCCUUUGACUAACAGGUUAUGGAGACAAUCGUCACUAAGAAAUUGGGGAAAUGAAAUGGGUGAUGCCCUGGUACCAGCUGCAGGAGUAGCCAGUGUCCUGAAAAUUUUUUUCACAGUUCUGGUAACUUACCAGACUUCCUUUCAGAGAAGACCUGUCCUAACAAAGAUGAUGGGCUGGACCACAUCCCACAGAAGGAUCAGGACUUCUUAGCUAUGUGUUCCUCUGACUCUCAACUUAAAUCCAGACCUUGUGUCACUAUCCCACUGUAACUUAGGGGGGAUCACUGUACCUCUCUCUCCAUCUCCCCAGGGUAGCCAUGUUAGAUCAGUAUUCUUUUUUUGUUCGUUUCUCUGUGACUUAUUCUUUUAAUUGGCUUACUGAGGACAUACGGCCAAACUUGGCUUGCUCAGGUUGCCAGGCUCUGACUACAGGGUUAGAUCACACUAUUUCUUAUUUCUGUGUGCCUGACUGUACUUCACUUAAGCUAAAAGCAUCAAAAUAAGCUCCUUUCCCAAGGAGUUUUUGAAGUCUUUCAUGUCACAUAAAUCUGUAUUAAAUAAAUAAAUAAAACUGUCUCUGGACAACCUGUCUUGAUCUUUAUGAAGGAGGAGGAAAAGUUUGUCUUUUUCUAGCACACUAAAUUGGCUCAUCUACCUAACAGUAGAGGCCUGUCUGGUUUUUAUUUUUCUUGCCCCAGCACUGUCAUAGUAGUCAUUUCAACCCUAUCAAUUGCCCCAUCCUGCUACAGAGGACAAGGGACACUUAAGUCCUGUGUCACCAAUGAUAUAUAAAAGCAAACAAACCAUUUGAUUCCACUUUGAGUUACAUGUGUGUCUUCUAACGUCAACUGCUUUUUUCUGGGUUGUGAGUUGCCAUACUUUGGAUCUUGAACGCCCCCAGAAGCUCUCUUUUUAUAGAUUUUGUCAGUACUUUGGCUCUUUGGGGAGGUGGUAGAACCUUUAAGAUCUUGGGACUAGCAGACAGUCUUUGGUGUCAGGGUAUGUCCAUGAAGAGAAUACGGAAAUUCAGCACUCCCUUCCCCUCUCCUCUUUCAUCAUGUCAUGAGCUCAGUGGUUUUGUUGUUGUUUUCAGGCGUCCCCAUCAUAAUGUGUUGCUUCACCACUGGCCCCCAAAUAAAGGUGACACAUGGGUCAUGUAUUAAACUCUCCAAAAGUAUGAGUUGAAAUAAGGCCUUUUUUAAUUUUUAAUGUGUAUGGUGUACAUGUGUGCAUACACUUGUGUGUGUGUAUGUGUGUGUGUAUAUACUUAUAAAAGCAUGCGGAUGCAUGUGUAUGUGAAGGCCAAGGCUGAUGUCAGCAACCAUCCUCUGACAUUCUUCCUCCUGUGCCACAUCAGCCUCCAGAAUGGAGAAUCAGCAGAGAGUUGGACAGACCUCACAGAAUAUUCGGGAGACCUGCAAGGCCAGCUAGAGGAGAGGCGAGCACUCUAUUGAGAUGCUGCACAAAGAUCAGCAUUUUGCAAAGAUAUUUUGAAGGCCUGAGAACCUUUAAACUCAAAAUAAAUAAGUACAGUAAAAUAAAAAUGUCACCCUGUGAAAGUUGACAGUAUUUAUAAAAAGAGAAGUAGAGGAGCCCCAGAAGGCGCAUCCUAAGUUGUCUUCCUCCUCAAUCCAAAGUAACCCUGAGGCAGCUACAUGGAGUCCUUUGAAAACUGCAGGGGCAGAUGUUUACAGAGCUCACUCUCAAGCCCGAAUUAUACAUACACCGUAAGAAAGCUUUCCUCUAAUGACAGAGGUAUAUCAGCACCGAAAUAGAAAUUAAAACCAAUCCGCAUGCUUGCUUAUUCCACCCAGGUCGUUUAUGAACACAUCCAUUGACAUCCCAGUAAAUUUCCUCUAAUAUCAAAAUGGCUCUGUGAUACAAACACUCUCUGUUCAAGCAUAAAGUCUUGGGUUCACAUCCCUAAGUAGUAAGCUGGCAUGGUCAUGUCUGUGCUUGCCAUCCCUGCACUGAGGGGGCAAGAAAAAGAAUGGCUUUUCUGAGCUGCUGGCCAAACCAACAGAGACACAAUGAGGAGUGGCAGGCUCAACAGAAAAUCCAGUCUCCAAAAGUGUGGUAGAGAGUAACCGACAAAUACACUCAGUGGCCUUCUCUACCCUCCACAUGUGUACUAUGAGUCCAUGCAGUCUCACAUGUCUGGACAACACACACACCACAGACAGCUGAUAUUGUGUAUGUUGUCACAAAUAAAAGUAUAUAUUGUCAAAGUAAAAGAAUUCCCCAAACAAUGCCAUAUGUAUUUACUAUAAAUAGAUGGCAACACUUUCUAACAACAGCUGCUUAAAUGCUAGAUUAUACAAUAACAAACGGAUGCUUGGAUAUUGGAUAGAUGCCUACAUAGGUGCUUUUAAAGCUUUUAAUAUUGUUGGUGACAUUAUGGAUGAUAUUUGUUUCUUAAAAUUCAUUCAACAUUGUGAGUAGUGAACAUAUAUGGAUAAAAACAGAAACACAUAAAUAAGUUAAUUUUAAAAAUCAAAAUGGAAUUCCCAGGCUCAGUUCAGGAUAAGCCUGGCAUGAUCAAGUCGAGGCCCCCUAAGUAUAUUAUCCACAUGAAAAUAAUUCGCACAGUGUGUGCCUCUGUGUGUCUUCUCAGCUACAACCAUGAAUCUGCUCAGCUUUGCACCUGCAACCAAAGACAAAAUAUGAGCCUCUCAGAUGGAGGCAGAAACAAGAUCCUAUAAAUCCAGGAAAGAUGGCUGUUCUGCCGAGCUUUGGCAAGAUGCUUUCCAGCUCGAACUGCAUGUUUCCUUCCACCUAACACCAGGAAACUGCAGGUUGAAGAGUACAGAAACGAUGGAUGGGAUGCAUGGAAAUACUACUUCUCGGAGAUGAAGAUGAAGGGGCAAAAUACUUUCCCCCCUACUCCAGGUCUUCCCUUCUGAAUGUUCUGUAAAAACAUCAGUAGCCUAGUCCCUCUUGUGACUCCAAUACUUGGAAAAUGGACACCUCAGCUAUCUACAAAUAAAUUAUCCACCCACUGUACUCCUGAGUCUGCAGCUACUGAGAAAAGUUGUCAAGUCUUCUAAACUCCACCGGCAUUGAAUAGGAAAUGACUGUUGUUUAUCCUCAGGGAGAGUCUUGGUGCCAUAGACAAGCAUUACCAAUUUAAGGCUUUGAUAGGUUAAUCUUGAUUGUCAACUUAACAAAAUUUAGGAUCCCCAAGAAAACAAACCACCUGGGAUACCCAUGAAGGGAGUUUCUGGAUUGUGUUAAUUAAGAAGACCUGAGACUGUGGGCAGAAUUGUUCCUUAGGGUGGGGUACCAGAAUGAUGAAAAGAAAAAAGAAAAUGAGUUUAGCAUCAAUUGCAUCUUUCUCUUCAUCCUCAUUAUGGAUGUAAAGUGAUCAGCUGCCUCAAGAUCCUGCUAUCCAUAUGCCGGUCUUGCAAUGAUAGAAUGACUGUAACUAAAAAAAAAUAUAUAUCAGACAAAAUUUGCCCUUCCUUCUUGAAGUUGCUUAGGUCACAGCAGUGUAAAAAGUAGCUCAUACGAAUGGACAGAAGGAAGGGUCUAGAGCUGAAAUCUUCCCUGUCCCUCCUACCUCCAUUAUACCUUCUGUCUGUACCAUAGUUUUACUGCACUUUAAAUUGCUCUUUGGGAGCUAAGCUUCCUGGAGUGUUUGCAAGAAUUUGUAAUAAGGCUAUAGAGACACAAGGAGAAUAUUCCAGGCAGUAUCACAGGUAAAAUUCUGGAUAAAUAACAAGGCUUUAAAGGUUAUGAGAACAGAGUAAAGUCUUUCUUUUACUUUUCUUUAGUAGAAGAGACAGAAAUAAAUGCACCUAAAGGAGAGUGAAGAAAGAGGUAGGGACAUAGAUGCUGAAUCUGGAGUCUCUGGGAAAUUAUGCCAAGAAAAUACAAUCUUAAGACUAAAAUGGAGCUUGGCUGGUAUAGUGUUGGUACAGCAUGGUACAGUGUUCAAUUCCGUCUUUAGCUUUGCACAAACCCAGAGUUUGUGGCAUACUUCUACCUCAGAAUUCAGGAAGUGAAAACAGAGGGAUCAAAAAUUAAACAUAAUGAGAUCCAGGUCAUCCUGGCUUAUACGUGACCUCUUAAAAAGAGAAAACAAGAAGGAAAAUGGGGAAAGGAAUGGAAAGAAAGGGGAGAAAAGACAGGAAAGAGGGA
Molecule: long non-coding RNA, 11266 nt
Organism: Alexandromys fortis (reed vole)
Lineage: Eukaryota; Metazoa; Chordata; Mammalia; Rodentia; Cricetidae
Exons: 4
Source: RefSeq, a predicted model, not a curated record